RNAcentral lists this ribosomal RNA (255 nucleotides) under uncultured bacterium. RNAcentral's name for it is "partial 16S ribosomal RNA". It matches the Rfam family "Bacterial small subunit ribosomal RNA", at positions 524 to 776 of the family's 1533-position model. The record is from RNAcentral.
UACGUAGGGUGCAAGCGUUAAUCGGAAUUACUGGGCGUAAAGCGUGCGCAGGCGGUUGUGCAAGACAGAUGUGAAAUCCCCCGGGCUCAACCUGGGAAUUGCAUUUGUGACUGCACGGCUAGAGUGUGUCAGAGGGGGGGUAGAAUUCCACGUGUAGCAGUGAAAUGCGUAGAGAUGUGGAGGAAUACCGAUGGCGAAGGCAGCCUCCUGGGCCAACACUGACGCUCAUGCACGAAAGCGUGGGGAGCAAACAGG